Molecule: ribosomal RNA, 789 nt
Filed under: uncultured bacterium
Lineage: Bacteria
Description: bacterial SSU rRNA
Rfam family: Bacterial small subunit ribosomal RNA
Source: RNAcentral
AGAGUUUGAUCAUGGCUCAGGAUGAACGCUAGCGGCAGGCUUAACACAUGCAAGUCGAGGGGUAGAGGAAGCUUGCUUCCUUGAGACCGGCGCACGGGUGCGUAACGCGUAUGCAAUCUACCUUGUACAGGGGGAUAGCCCAGAGAAAUUUGGAUUAAUACCCCAUAGUAUUAUUGAGUGGCAUCACUUAAUUAUUAAAGUUCCAACGGUACAAGAUGAGCAUGCGUCCUAUUAGCUAGUUGGUGUGGUAACGGCAUACCAAGGCUACGAUAGGUAGGGGUCCUGAGAGGGAGAUCCCCCACACUGGUACUGAGACACGGACCAGACUCCUACGGGAGGCAGCAGUGAGGAAUAUUGGACAAUGGGCGCAAGCCUGAUCCAGCCAUGCCGCGUGCAGGAAGAAGCAUCUAUGGUGUGUAAACUGCUUUUGUACGGGAAGAAACACCUCUACGUGUAGAGGCUUGACGGUACCGUAAGAAUAAGGAUCGGCUAACUCCGUGCCAGCAGCCGCGGUAAUACGGAGGAUCCAAGCGUUAUCCGGAAUCAUUGGGUUUAAAGGGUCCGUAGGCGGUCUAAUAAGUCAGUGGUGAAAGCCCAUCGCUUAACGAUGGAACGGCCAUUGAUACUGUUAGACUUGAAUUAUUGGGAAGUAACUAGAAUAUGUAGUGUAGCGGUGAAAUGCUUAGAUAUUACAUGGAAUACCAAUUGCGAAGGCAGGUUACUAUCAAUAUAUUGACGCUGAUGGACGAAAGCGUGGGGAGCGAACAGGAUUAGAUACCCUAGUAGUCC